This is a long non-coding RNA of Corticium candelabrum, 903 nucleotides long. RefSeq lists it as uncharacterized. The record is from RefSeq and is a predicted model, not a curated record. The transcript has 2 exons. NCBI's taxonomy places the organism in Eukaryota, Metazoa, Porifera, Homoscleromorpha, Homosclerophorida, Plakinidae.
AAUUCUCAACAAAAUUAAGUUACCUCAUAUGGCAGUGUUCCAUAGCUGUAUCAUUAGAAUGUUUCUAACAUUUCUCUUAUAGAAAAACCAUUUUCUGACACUUUUUACACAACUAAUGGAAGGAAACAAUCAUGAAGGCCAUAGCUCAGUGCUGGACGUCUGAUGAGUGAAAAACAGGAGUCAAAAUAAUCAUGUUUGUCAAUGUGUGGUUGGCAGGAAUGUGCCGCCAAGAAUAAGACAGGAAAUGCAGUAGAAACAGGGACUGGAAUGUGGGAUUCUCAACAUGUCAUGAUAGGACGGUGGGCAAAAGCUUUUGUAACAAUGAUGCAUGCUGGUCUGACUUUCUUCAAAAAAUGGGUGCGUGAUCCUGCUCUUUGCCAUGUCAAUAUUUUACAUCGGAAUGUUGAUUGAUAGCAAUGGCAAAUGGAAUAUCCUAUAUCAUAAUGAUAAUGUGUCAACAAGUCAACACUGGCCCGUUGAUGUGCAGAGAGUCGAGAACCCUUUGCUAUAUUUGGCUGUUGACUGUUGUCGACCUGUUGAUCACAGACUGGGAAUAUUCGUGGGAGUAACAAGCAAGCGGUGAUAAACACUUCAACAAUCAAUUAUUCGCAUAGCAAUAGCAGACACCACGCCCAAGCCCAGGUUUCAUUUCAUGACGUAGGCACGCAUGCCUCUACUUAUCAGCCAUCAGUUCCGAUGUUUGUUUAGUGUAUUAUCAAGAAACUGCUUACUGCAUGGCAGUCAUCAUACCAAGAGCAUCAUCUGUACAACAACUUAGUUAUACACGUAGCUCUGAAGUGAAUAUGUCUGAAUUUCUCUAUAUACAUCAGUAAAAAUAUAAGCGAUCUAGACACAAAAUCUAUACAAAACGGAAUCUGUUCUAUCUGUUCUAUGAGAGUCCGG